GAUGAAGAACGUAGCGAAAUGCGAUAAGUAGUGUGAAUUGCAGAAUUCAGUGAAUCAUCGAAUCUUUGAACGCACAUUGCGGCCCUUGGUAUUCCAUGGGGCAUGCCUGUUCGAGCGUCAUUUGUACCUUCAAGCCUUGCUUGGUGUUGGGUGUUUGUCUCGCCUCUGCGCGCAGACUCGCCUCAAAACAAUUGGCAGCCGGCGUAUUGAUUUCGGAGCGCAGUACAUCUCGCGCUUUGCACUCAGAACGACGACGUCCAAAAGUACAUUUUUACACUCUUGACCUCGGAUCAGGUAGGGAUACCCGCUGAACUUAAGCAUAUCAAUAAGCGGAGGA
This 337-nucleotide unclassified non-coding RNA is filed under the name soil metagenome. Its description in RNAcentral is "partial contains 5.8S ribosomal RNA, internal transcribed spacer 2, and large subunit ribosomal RNA". The stretch from base 1 to 120 matches the Rfam family "5.8S ribosomal RNA", at positions 35 to 154 of the family's 154-position model. The record is from RNAcentral.